This 444-nucleotide ribosomal RNA is filed under the name uncultured bacterium. Its description in RNAcentral is "bacterial SSU rRNA". It matches the Rfam family "Bacterial small subunit ribosomal RNA", at positions 29 to 519 of the family's 1533-position model. The record is from RNAcentral.
AACGAACGCUGGCGGCAUGCCUAACACAUGCAAGUCGAGCGCCCCAGCAAUGGGGAGCGGCAGACGGGUGAGUAACGCGUGGGUAUCUACCUAGUGGUGCGGAAUAGCCCAGGGAAACUUGGAGUAAUACCGCAUAAGCCCGAAAGGGGAAAGAUUUAUCGCCAUUAGAUGAGCCCGCGUUGGAUUAGCUAGUUGGUGGGGUAACGGCCCACCAAGGCGACGAUCCAUAGCUGGUCUGAGAGGAUGAUCAGCCACACUGGGACUGAGACACGGCCCAGACUCCUACGGGAGGCAGCAGGUGGGAAUAUUGGACAAUGGCGCAAGCCUGAUCCAGCCAUGCCGCGUGAGUGACGAAGGUCUUCGGAUUGUAAAGCUCUUUUGGCGGGGACGAUAAUGACGGUACCCGCAGAAUAAGCCCCGGCUAACUUCGUGCCAGCAGCCGCG